RNAcentral lists this unclassified non-coding RNA (380 nucleotides) under uncultured bacterium. RNAcentral's name for it is "contains 16S-23S intergenic spacer region". The record is from RNAcentral.
UCCGGCUUAACGCCGGCAGUCUCCCUAGAGUGCCCAACUUAAUGGUGGCAACUAAGGACGAGGGUUGCGCUCGUUGCGGGACUUAACCCAACACCUCACGACACGAGCUGACGACAGCCAUGCAGCACCUGUGUGCAGGUCCCCGAAGGGAAGGAAUCCAUCUCUGGAAACCGUCCUGCCAUGUCAAGGGCUGGUAAGGUUCUGCGCGUUGCUUCGAAUUGAACCACAUGCUCCACCGCUUGUGCGGGCCCCCGUCAAUUCCUUUGAGUUUUAACCUUGCGGCCGUAGUCCCCAGGCGGGGCACUUAAUGCGUUAGCUACGGCGCGGAAAACGUGGAAUGUCCCCCACACCUAGUGCCCAACGUUUACGGCAUGGACUAC